Molecule: small nucleolar RNA, 106 nt
Filed under: Neotoma lepida (desert woodrat)
Lineage: Eukaryota; Metazoa; Chordata; Mammalia; Rodentia; Cricetidae
Description: Small nucleolar RNA SNORA40
Rfam family: Small nucleolar RNA SNORA40
About the family: The snoRNA ACA 40 belongs to the H/ACA family of snoRNAs and guides the pseudouridylation of 28S rRNA subunit at position U4565. NB This family has a high threshold value to exclude a large number of closely related sequences that do not appear to have conserved H and ACA boxes, and may be pseudogenes.
Source: Rfam by way of RNAcentral
AGCACCUGUUUUUGUUGAAGACAUAAAGGACAGGUGCAAAACUAAACCCCCUUUGCUACUCAGAAUUCAUGGUUCAUUCUGAGUUCUGAUACAUAGAUGUGAUACU